UGGCUCAGGAUGAACGCUGGCGGCGUGCCUAACACAUGCAAGUCGAACGGGAACUCCUAGAUGAAGUUUCGAUGGAUUUUAGGAAAUUCUAGUGGCGGACGGGUGAGUAACGCGUGGGUAACCUGCCCUUAAGAGGGGAAUAACAGCGAGAAAUCGCUGCUAAUACACCAUAUGCUUACGGUAUCGCAUGAUACAGUGAGGAAAAGAAUUUCGCUUAAGGAUGGACCCGCGUUUGAUUAGCCAGUUGGCAGGGUAACGGCCUACCAAAGCAACGAUCAAUAGCCGGCCUGAGAGGGUGAACGGCCACAUUGGAACUGAGAUACGGUCCAGACUCCUACGGGAGGCAGCAGUGGGGAAUA
This 359-nucleotide ribosomal RNA is filed under the name uncultured rumen bacterium. Its description in RNAcentral is "bacterial SSU rRNA". It matches the Rfam family "Bacterial small subunit ribosomal RNA", at positions 20 to 363 of the family's 1533-position model. The record is from RNAcentral.